RNAcentral lists this ribosomal RNA (372 nucleotides) under Triticum aestivum (bread wheat). Its description in RNAcentral is "partial small subunit ribosomal RNA". Lineage: Eukaryota; Viridiplantae; Streptophyta; Magnoliopsida; Poales; Poaceae. The record is from RNAcentral.
UCGUGCGCCGUCGACGGCCGUCGCCGGCGUGUGGCCACGGCGAAGGUGGUCGGCCCAGACGGCUCUUUGGUGCAGUUCGCGGCGCCCGUCAUGGCGGGCGAGGCGCUGGGGGACGCCGCCAGCGCGUCGAGCUUCCUGUGCAGCGCCGACGAGCUCCGCUUCGACGCGCCCGCCCGUGCGCUGGCGGCCGAGGAGGCGCUGCAGCCCGGGUGGCUCUACUUCGUGCUGCCCAUGUCCAUGCUCCGCCGGCCGCUCUCCGGGCAGGAGAUGGCCGCCCUCGCCGUCAAGGCCAGCUCCGCGCUCGCCGUCGCCAGCGGUAAGGGGCGGAAGGCGGCUCGGGUGGCGCCUCGCGCGGGAGGAUGGAGUCCCUGA